This 1292-nucleotide ribosomal RNA is filed under the name Lactiplantibacillus plantarum. RNAcentral's name for it is "bacterial SSU rRNA". It matches the Rfam family "Bacterial small subunit ribosomal RNA", at positions 28 to 1286 of the family's 1533-position model. The record is from RNAcentral. Lineage: Bacteria; Bacillati; Bacillota; Bacilli; Lactobacillales; Lactobacillaceae.
GACGAACGCUGGCGGCGUGCCUAAUACAUGCAAGUCGAACGAACUCUGGUAUUGAUUGGUGCUUGCAUCAUGAUUUACAUUUGAGUGAGUGGCGAACUGGUGAGUAACACGUGGGAAACCUGCCCAGAAGCGGGGGAUAACACCUGGAAACAGAUGCUAAUACCGCAUAACAACUUGGACCGCAUGGUCCGAGUUUGAAAGAUGGCUUCGGCUAUCACUUUUGGAUGGUCCCGCGGCGUAUUAGCUAGAUGGUGGGGUAACGGCUCACCAUGGCAAUGAUACGUAGCCGACCUGAGAGGGUAAUCGGCCACAUUGGGACUGAGACACGGCCCAAACUCCUACGGGAGGCAGCAGUAGGGAAUCUUCCACAAUGGACGAAAGUCUGAUGGAGCAACGCCGCGUGAGUGAAGAAGGGUUUCGGCUCGUAAAACUCUGUUGUUAAAGAAGAACAUAUCUGAGAGUAACUGUUCAGGUAUUGACGGUAUUUAACCAGAAAGCCACGGCUAACUACGUGCCAGCAGCCGCGGUAAUAGGUAGGUGGCAAGCGUUGUCCGGAUUUAUUGGGCGUAAAGCGAGCGCAGGCGGUUUUUUAAGUCUGAUGUGAAAGCCUUCGGCUCAACCGAAGAAGUGCAUCGGAAACUGGGAAACUUGAGUGCAGAAGAGGACAGUGGAACUCCAUGUGUAGCGGUGAAAUGCGUAGAUAUAUGGAAGAACACCAGUGGCGAAGGCGGCUGUCUGGUCUGUAACUGACGCUGAGGCUCGAAAGUAUGGGUAGCAAACAGGAUUAGAUACCCUGGUAGUCCAUACCGUAAACGAUGAAUGCUAAGUGUUGGAGGGUUUCCGCCCUUCAGUGCUGCAGCUAACGCAUUAAGCAUUCCGCCUGGGGAGUACGGCCGCAAGGCUGAAACUCAAAGGAAUUGACGGGGGCCCGCACAAGCGGUGGAGCAUGUGGUUUAAUUCGAAGCUACGCGAAGAACCUUACCAGGUCUUGACAUACUAUGCAAAUCUAAGAGAUUAGACGUUCCCUUCGGGGACAUGGAUACAGGUGGUGCAUGGUUGUCGUCAGCUCGUGUCGUGAGAUGUUGGGUUAAGUCCCGCAACGAGCGCAACCCUUAUUAUCAGUUGCCAGCAUUAAGUUGGGCACUCUGGUGAGACUGCCGGUGACAAACCGGAGGAAGGUGGGGAUGACGUCAAAUCAUCAUGCCCCUUAUGACCUGGGCUACACACGUGCUACAAUGGAUGGUACAACGAGUUGCGAACUCGCGAGAGUAAGCUAAUCUCUUAAAGCCAUU